GCUUGGAAGUCUCCAAAGUUGUGGACGACCCCAAGAAGUUUGUAUUCCCCGCUCUUGUGAGUAGAUUUGAGAAAAAAUUCCAUUGACCUUGGUGAUCGGGUUGUGGAGGAUUAGGGUUGGAAAAGACCCGGCCCUGUGUGGGCUCCUCAAUGGGGAGUAGGACACCUUUGUGGUGUGACCGAACCUCGAAAUAAAAUCUUAUGUCUUGUGUUCUUGCUUGGAUCCGUGAUUGUGAUUUUCUAUUUGCUAAGAUAGGCAUAGAGGUUUGUUCGCCGUGUGGAUCUCGUGGUGAAUUAACUCCUGUAUUUCUCACCAUCCACACUUAGUUUAACCCUCGUGUUUUCCGUCCUAAGAGAUCCCUCAUUGUAUUUUUGCAUAGUUCAAAGCCUAUAUUUAUUCUAGCAGUUGGACUAGUUCAAAGUAGUUCAACUUGCCUUUAUAGUAGUUGAACUGGCCUACACCAAUUGAACUGUAGAUUUGACAUUAUCUCGAAGUUUGUGGAGAUAAUUUUUAGGUUUAGCCUAUUCACCCCCUAUAAGCUACUUUCAUCUAACGAGAAGACGAGGUAGGGUCCCACUACGAGGCCUUUACAAAGUUCCACUAGCUUCAGAAAACCCGCUACGGUUCUGUGAGAAGGGGGCGAUAUAGGAAUCCCUCUUCCGAAAAGCCAUCACAACAUGAUCAAUGUGAGAACCUUCCUAUACUGGUAGCUCCUCACACAUAUGAUGAGAACCUCCCUAUAUAGGCGCGUCUCCAUAUGUGCUAGGAUCAAGUCUCACACAUAUGAUGAUUUAUGGUAUAGAAAUCAAUGUCACAUCUUUAUUAUAUAAUAGAAGUUCUGUACAAAAUAGCUUAAUAAAUACAUCAUAUGACAACGAUCCUCCGCAACUUUAGUUGACUGGAAGACGAUGGCCUAAACCUCUUCGAACUCAUCGUAGCAUCCUUCAUGCUCCUCCAACGGUACCUAUACUUGACCUGGUGUGAUUAUAGCAAGGGUGGGCUCCCAUACGGUUAUCGCUCAACAAGUGUGGAGAAAAGUGUAGUGUAAGGCUUACCAAGGAGAAUGGUUAAGGCUGAGCAUUGCUGUUAGUGUUCGUCAAAAUUUUAUUAACAAUUACUAGGUAUAAGUAAAAACCAACCCAAUUAAAUAAUUGAUCACAAUUAAUAAUAAAUCCAAGAAUGCAAUGAAAAUAACAUGUUAAGUUUAAUUCCAUAAAUUACUCUUGUGAGGGUCCGAGCCGCUCUUGACCUUGAGCACGGCUAAUAUACCAGUUUUACACUCUGUAGAGGUUGCACAUCUUUAUCCACAAGCCGUGUUACCCAUUUGCCAAGGGAUCACGACUUCCCAUUCAUCUCUACCGAGAAGACGAGGUAGGGUCCCACUACGAGGCCUUUACAAAGUUCCACUAGCUUCAAAAAACCCGCUACGGUUUCUGCAAGAAUGGACGAUAUAGGAAUCCCUCUUCCAAAAAGCCAUCAUAGCAUGAUUGACCUGAGAACCUCCCUAUACCGACAGCUCCUCACACCACGAUUGUCCCUUUCGGGUAAGGUAGUCGUCCACUAGCUUUUUUAUUUAGUCAGCCAAGGGCGUUCCAUACCACCCUUGUGGUAACACUAUUUUUCAGGUGGUUCUCCAUGUUCCAAUUAACACAAUGAUCUUAUCAUGAACAAUAAUAGAUGACCAACUAUACUAAAUAAUAAUCGAACAUGGUCAUGAAUCAUAAGUAUCAUUAAUCCCAAAACCAGGUCGAGCAAUAGCAAGUCUACCCAAUAAGUCAUUUGUUUGUAAGGUGCAGGGUAAACAAACUAGGUAACCUAUUAGGUCUCAUUAGCUUAACCUAACAGUGCCACAGUGAUUAACGAAACAUUAUUAGAUAAAAGAAUGUGAUCAAGGACACAACUUGCCUUUGUGGUGCAACUUCAGGUAUUUCUCCAAGUUUGAGCUUCAGGUUCCUCAUGACCUCGCUUCUAUUCGUAGCAACACAUACAAAUAAACAAAUAAUGGCUAUGAUAACAUUACACCAAUGCAUUAGAACAAACAGCGUAAGAAUAUUCUACGCAUCAACACGAAUCUGUAGGUUCAAGAACCGCUAAAUUCAGAGUUAAAAUGAAUUAGGUAUGAGUUUUAUAAGUCAUAUGAAUUAUUUUAUAUUAAAAUCAACAUUUUAGAUUUAAUUUAAUAAGAUCUGGACUAUGGUUAUUAAUUAUAUAGUGACUAGGGGCUAAACUAUAAGAAUCAUGGACCUUACUUAUAUUCUCUUGAACCAGGUAUGGACAACGAGUUUAUUUCGUAAAAACAUAGGGACUCUUUUGCAACUUUCCUCGACCGAAGGGGUAUCGUGAUGCCUCAGUCGCCCGAUUAUAAAUUUAUGGCGCUGAUUAAUUUGUCACCCUACUGAACCGGUACACAACCGGAUCCGUUGGAUCUCGAAUCAAUAGCAUGAGAGACGUCCACGUCUCAAACUACUCUGCACCCUCCAUCAUCGGUCCUACGAUUCAUAUUAUAAACAAGCAAUGGGUUAUGAGUAAUCUAAUCAUAGCCGUCCAUUCCAGAUCGAUGGCCCAAAAUUCAUCUUCCCACUCGUCGGACAACAAGCGGUGAUGCCGCAUGCCCACGACGACUGAUCACCGAUGAAUCUCGUUUGUGCAUUCUGGUGUUCUAACGACUACAUGGAUAAGUGCUAACCGAUCCUGAGUAUAUGGCGAACUAGUGGUGCGGGCUCUCACCUUCAAUUUGGGUGCCAGAGCAUGUAGACCGCGCGGCACCACGGUUUGGCGAAACGACGAGUCUCCGAUGAGGAAUCCCCAGUGACCUAGUCGACCUCCGGCUUCAACGACUUCGUGCAUGGUUUCCCUACGCCCUAGUGAACUCCAUAGACCACUGACAAAAUCCUGAGUGAUAACGUAAGCAAGUGGUCACGACAACGGCUAUCUUGCGAUGCGUUCUUAUCUACGACUCUCGGUGGCGGCUGCUUGCGGUGGCGGUGGC
This 2989-nucleotide long non-coding RNA is filed under the name Zea mays. RNAcentral's name for it is "long non-coding RNA (ZMAY_LNC005468)". The record is from RNAcentral. Lineage: Eukaryota; Viridiplantae; Streptophyta; Magnoliopsida; Poales; Poaceae.